Microcebus murinus (gray mouse lemur) is the source of this 1489-nucleotide non-coding RNA. NCBI's taxonomy places the organism in Eukaryota, Metazoa, Chordata, Mammalia, Primates, Cheirogaleidae. The record is from RefSeq and is a predicted model, not a curated record.
GGGAGACCCUGAGAAGCUAGGGGGGAUUGCAAGGGGUGCAGACUGAAGAAAAGGGAAGGAGGGAGGACAGCACCCCUUUUCCUCUCACAGAUUGUUACCUCCUGUGACCCCCACAACCUACUCUCAAGUGGGUAUAGGGAACCCUGUGGAGAGACCCAAAGACCAAGUAAGCAGAGUGGCUAAAAGAAUAGUCAAACCCAGCUCCUAAGGGCUUCCCAGUUGCCAGGGAGAAAAGACUACCCUCAUCCCUUAAUGGACUCUCACCAAGUAAUCCUGAUCAUCGAUGCCAAAUCGAUCACGGAGGUUCCUGAAGACUUGAGGACAAUACUCUUUGAACUUGAAAUGACUGGGCAGAUUUUCCCUGAAAUUCGAGUUUUUAAGGAAGGUUAACAUAAGAAGGGCAAGGAUCCCCACUUACCUGUGGAAAAGGUGAUUGUUGACCUUGAUCUUGGAGCUGGCCUUAAAGUCAUCUGGCAGCAGCAUCACUGGGGGAGGUACCUGGCUGAGCUCAUUGAUCUGAUAAGCCAAAACAUGAAUAGGGAAGCAGUGAGUAAGGGUGUGGAGAGCUACUCAUGCACUGUGUCUAGCCAGGAAUCGGGAAAGGGCAACUGCAACUUCAUUCCUUGAAAAACACUGGCUAUACAUAUGCUUGACAGAAGUGAGAGAAUGUGUCUAACCCCUUCUGCUGCCCAAGAAGGACUGCAGUCAGCAACACUCACACACAGCCCCUCACACUCCCACCCCCGUGGAACUUCAUGCUCACAACAGUCAUUUUAUAUUAGGCAAACCCUGUAAGCAACUCAGGACUAUUUUUAAAGCUGUGAGAAAUUCUAGAAAAGAAAAAUACCCUCUGCAAAUUCAAGACAGUUACACGCUUUUUUUUUUUUUUAAGCAUUUUUAAAGUGCACCAAAGAAUUAAUGGGAUUCUGUGGGGUCAACAGCAGCAAGAAGAAUGAAAUGUCUAUAUCCUAUAAAAGGCAUCUCUUUACAAACAGGACCAGUCCCUUCCAGGCCACUCUUACCCACUUCUUUGCAGUAGGUCCCCACCUGUCUAGGUGUAAGGUAAAGGAAGAACAGCUGAUUUCAGGAGAAAUGCAGACAGAGAAUAUGAGCUUGUUAGUCUGUUCCCUAAGUAAAACCAAUCCACAGCCUGAAGGACACAAGCAUCACAUGUUCUUCUCAGGCCCCAGAUCUGCACUCUGCUAAUUCAGGGGAGAAAAGGAGCUCUGGUACUUAGAAAUCAUGAGAUGUACUUUCUUCUUUGUGUUGCUACAAUACCUGUCACCUGUUUUUGUUAGUACAUGUAUCACAUGACUUUAAUCACUAGUUAAUGUAGUAAGUCCCCCCAACUAGAUUGUGAACUCUUCAAGAGUAAGGGCCCGUUCUAGUUGUCUGCAUCUCUCAGGUGCCCAGCUAGCAUGAUGUAUGGCACACAGUGAUCCUGAAGUGUUUAUUAACUGAAUAAAUGAAUGCCAACUUGAUCAUUCGA